ACUAAUUUGGCAGAAAAAAUUGUAUCAAAUUUAGAAUUUGAAAAUGGUGGUUACCAGUUAGUA
This 63-nucleotide transfer RNA is filed under the name Ixodes nipponensis. RNAcentral's name for it is "tRNA-Leu". The record is from RNAcentral. Lineage: Eukaryota; Metazoa; Arthropoda; Arachnida; Ixodida; Ixodidae.